GAUGAACGCUGGCGGCGUGCUUAACACAUGCAAGUCGAACGGAAAGGCGCUGCUCUUGUGGGGUGCUCGUGAGGCGCACGGGUGAGUAUAACGUGAGGAUCCUGCCCUUGUCUUUGGGAUAACUCUAGGAAACUGGGGCUAAUACCGCAUAGGAGAUCCUGCUCCAUGGUGGGGGUUGGAGAGUUUCGGCGGUGGGGGAUGGACUCGCGGCUUAUCAGCCUGUUGGGGGGGUAGUGGCUGACCAAGGCUGUGACGGCUAGCCGGCCUGGGAGGGUGACCGGCCACAAGAGGACUACGAGACGGCCCAGACGGCUACGGGAGGCAGCAGGGGGGAGUAUUGCGCAACGGGCGGAAGCCUGAUGCAGCAGUGUUGGGAGCGGGAUGACGGCCUACGGGGGGUAAACCACUUUCGCCUGUGACGAAGCGUGAGUGACGGUAAUGGGUAAAGAAGCACCGGCUAACUACGUG
This 468-nucleotide ribosomal RNA is filed under the name uncultured bacterium. Its description in RNAcentral is "partial 16S ribosomal RNA". It matches the Rfam family "Bacterial small subunit ribosomal RNA", at positions 28 to 507 of the family's 1533-position model. The record is from RNAcentral.